Camelus ferus (Wild Bactrian camel) is the source of this 72-nucleotide transfer RNA. It matches the Rfam family "tRNA". From Rfam's summary of the family: Transfer RNA (tRNA) molecules are approximately 80 nucleotides in length. Their secondary structure includes four short double-helical elements and three loops (D, anti-codon, and T loops). The record is from Rfam. NCBI's taxonomy places the organism in Eukaryota, Metazoa, Chordata, Mammalia, Artiodactyla, Camelidae.
GGCGGUAAAGCUCAGUUGUAGAGCACAUGCUUAGCAUGCAUGAGGUCCUGGGUUCAAUCCCCAGUACCUACA